GGGAGGUGAACCUGUCUUCAGUAGCCCAUGCCAUUCUCUGUCUCUAGAGACCCAGACCCAGGCCAGGGUGGCCCUCCAUGGUGGGGACAGUGGAGUCACCGUGGACUUGGCAGCCCUGGUGGCUUGGCCACGGCGUGGCCCACUGCAGCUGGUGGCCAAUGCCAGCCACACAGUGCCUGCUCUCCAGAGGCUGGGCCUGCCCUUCACCAACCAGCUCGUGUUCCAAGGACUCUGGGAGGCAGAAGAGAUGAGCUCCUCACUGCAGCUGACCUGCGAUUCUCAGGCCACCUUGGUCCUUGACGUCUGUGGCCAGAACCAGGCAGUCAGCUCAGCGCUCUUCCCAGGGAGCUGUUCCUGCAGACCACAUACGAGCGAGCUCGUGGGACCCGUGUCCUGCGCCAGGUGGUGCUGUGGGAUGGCCAGGAGGUGGCCCUCACCGGGAGCCUUUCUGGGCCUUUCCCCAAGCCCACCAGGAACCUCAGCCUGCAGGUGGAGCUCACCCACCCGCUGCCCCUCCC
RNAcentral lists this small RNA (518 nucleotides) under Pan troglodytes (chimpanzee). Its description in RNAcentral is "retained intron". Lineage: Eukaryota; Metazoa; Chordata; Mammalia; Primates; Hominidae. The record is from RNAcentral.